GAGAAGAAGCUUGGAUCAGAGAGAUAAAAUCAGGGGAAAUGUUGAUGUUAGCUACUAUAAACUCCCUCGGAUCCUCUUCAUCUCAACAUCUUCAUCACGCGUUGUUCAAGAAAAACAAAAGAGCGCUCAAGAUUGGUUCAAGGUUUACUAUGUUCGACUGUUAAGUUCACUCGAGGUAAAUUAUAUGUGUACGUAAAUAAUAUGGUCCUGACUUUCAUCAUCUUUUUUUCAUCUAUGUAAUUCGAAGGUCCACCACAUGGGUUGGUGUUUCUUUUCAUUGGAACUAGAAGGGUAAAUUUGGGUUAAAUUGAGUUUCUCAUGGGGUCAGAGAACUCAUUUCACGUUUGAUUUCUUUUUAGUUUCACAUUUCUUCUUUGGUGUGGCUUUCAUUGGGUAUACAAACAGAGGGAAGGGUGUGGUUUUGUAUUGUUAAAACUUUGGUUAUUUAUGUAAGAGUUAUGUUAUUACGGUUCUUUUGGAUACAUGUCUAUGUAUAUUUAUGUUAUAUAUAUUUACGUUAUAAUCACGAUAGAUAUGGGACGAAGGUACAUGUGGAUCAGUGGAUAACUUGAUUAAUUGUCCAAAAGGAGAGCGUCCUUUAGCUAAUGUCAAAUGGGAGAUUCAUGAAUAGGAGAAACUUCGCAGAAACGACGUUAAUGGAUACAAAUUAGUUGACACAUAUAUAUACAAUAUACAUGUAAUAUACUAAGACCGACAAAGUGAAAGCGUGGUUAGACAUCUUAUUUAUAUAAACAUUCUGCUCGUAGAGUCGUAGUUAUGUCAUAUUAAUGAAUAAUGAUUUUGUUCUUUACCAUUUUGGUUACAAGCCUACAACUCAUGGUUUCAUGUAUAUAUGAACACAAGUUUUGGUCCAGGCUUGGAGUUUAUUGAUGCGUCAUUAUAAAGUGGGCACGAGUUCGUUACCAGCUUCUGCAUGUCAUUUUCUCUGCAAUGAUUCUUUUCGUGCAAGUAUUGGAGAUAGAUUUAUUCGUUAAAGAUUUGGGUCGGCAGACUCGGUACCGUGUGGACCAAGAACUUUAUUACCUUUGUGUGGAUAAUUUAUGGAUCAAAAUCAAUUAUCACACGAAAGAAUGUUAUUAACACGUAUACUGUCGCUAACAUUCUAGCUUAUGGACACAUCAGACGAGAACUUGACCUGAUUAUUUUCAGCAAUCUGCAUAUACGUUUUCAUUGUUGAUAUUAUGUAUUUAUAUGAACAAAACUUGGAUUCGCUCCAUGUGGUAAACUUUCUAAUUCACCUCACCUCUUGAGAUCAAUCAAACUGUCACAUAGGAUUAAUAAGAGAAGGUAUUAAAAUUAAAAAGAAAAAGAAAAAUAGCUAAAUAAAGAAAAGGAAGAGGUCGCCGUUAACGAAGUAAUAGAACGUGAUCUCCAUCUGCUAGUUCUUCUUCAUAGCCCAGAGAUAUAUGAUUUUGUUUGUCAAGUUUGAAUCUCCAAUUCUUUCAAACAAAAAAAAAAAGAAUCUCCAAUUCUAUGCUUUCAAAUCCAAUAUUGAUUUCUCUUUCUCGUAACUAAAUCAAGUCAUGUUGCCUUCUAAAACAUUGUUUAUGUAUGUUCUUAAACACGCUCCUCAUAUAAUAAUAAUAAUAAUAAUACUCCUUAAAGCAGUUUUAGGGAUUUUUUGAUCAAAUCUUUUCUAAACUUCAGAUGCAGAGAGAAACAAAGGAAAGGGGCUUCACGGCUUCAAGCUCUGAAUAUGAAGUUGACGGCAAUGAACAAGCUCUUGAUGGAGGAAAAUGAUAGGUUGCAGAAGCAAGUGUCACACCUGGUUCAUGAAAAGAGCUACUUCUGUCAACACACCCCCAACGUAAGAAUCCUUAUCUUGAAGAUUAGUAGUUAGUUUUACUUUUUUUUUAAUGAGUGCCAUAUUGAUUUUGUUUUACCUUUUGGUUCCAGGCUUCACUUCCAGCUAAAGACAUAAGCUGUGAAUCAGUGGUGACUAGUGGACUAGAGCCUACAAGGGUAUCUGUGUAGAUAGAAUCAUCCCUAUGCAAUGCUCUACUACUACUACCUUACAUAAGUAGUCACACUGAUCUGCUUCUUCUUCUUCUUUUUUUCCAGGUCGCAGAGAUUGUCAAGGAUCGGCUUUCGUGGUUCCGGGAAUGCCGAGCUGUUGAUGUUAUGAAUUUUUUUGUAUUCUUACAAGGCAUUAGAGAAGUGAAAUCAAUGCAAUGCAUACAGCUACAGAUGUGAGGCUUUGAAUCUGCGGUUGUGUAGGCUAAUGUUCUUUGAUAUAUGUAGGGGUUUGCAUUCACUGACUAAGCAAUGUCCUGCUUUGAAGUUGUUCCAAAGCAUUUGAAAGUUGAGGAAUACGUAGUGUUAUAUUCUUACGAGGCUUUAGAGAAGGGAAAUCACAUACAGCGACAUAUGUGAGCUUUAGAAUCUGCUGAUAGGUUUUAAUACCCUAGAAAACAUAGAACAAUUAGACUUUUAAUGGAGAUUCUACAUAAUUGAUGUCCUUAAUUUGAAAGAGGAUAAAAAAGAGUAACUCAACCUACCUUAGAUUCCAAAAAAUUGAUGUUCUUCUCUGUAGGUGAUGAAGGAGAAGAAGCCGACGGCGUUAACCAUUUUCCUUUUCUUAAAAUCUUAAUACAUUUUCUUAUCAAUCCUAUGUGGCAGUUUGAUUGGCUUCAAAAAAGGAGGUGAAUUAAAGAGUUCACCACAGAGAGUGAACCCAAGUUUUGUUGUUAUUAUAUUUAUUAUGACAUCUUUAACCAAUCAAAUUGCAAACGAUUUAGGUAUUUAACGUUUCUAAUAACAAACUGAUGUUUGAUGAAAUACAAGACAAUGUUGAAACGUUAUAGGGAGUCAUGCCAUUAUAUAAAAUUUACUUCAACUAGCCAAUGCAUAGGCCCAUGAAUGAGAUAUUGACAGUAUAACCCAAACAUAGUCCCAUUUCUUUCUCUAAUCAAAAAUUCCGUUCUAUAUAAAAAUGCAUCUUGUAUGAUACAAAUUUAUAAUUCUUUUUUGAUAUAGAAGCGCAACAUGAAGGGAACGCCGUGUUUUUUUUCUAACACCAAACUCUUCUUUAGAAGCCUACUAAGUUAAGAUGGUUACAACCGGAGAAGCACACAACAACAAAAAUAUAAAAAAAAAUAAAACAACGAAAAUGUAGAAUUGAUCCAUAGAGAAGCCUUACUUCGAAUUCUAAAGCCAGUGUUUGAAAGAACACAAUCACAAUCAAGUCGAAUACAAGACCGACGUUGAAAGACCCAACUGAUGAGUUUGAGAGUGAUUGGCGACUGUCUAUGACGAUGCUAGGAUCGCUAAAGAAAGAUAUAUUGGUUAGUCCUUCAUAAAAAUUCCUUGGUGAAAGAGAGUUGGACCAUAAACUCUGGUUCUAGAGUAAUCAUCUUAAAAAACAAGUGACAUUAUAUCCAAAUCAAGACGACUCAUUGUGACAGUUAUGGGCUCGACAGUUUAAUGCAACAAAGAAAGAUGCGGAUUCUCAAGGAGAAAUCCGGGACAGCUAAAUGUAGAGUCGUGAUUUCAAUUUUAGAUAACUCGUCAAAAAGACAAAGAAUGUCAUUUCUGAGACAACAAAGAGCCUCAAUGUGGCUUUUCUAGACUCAAAGGGUUUGAUGUGUAGCCAGUGGCGGACGCAGAUGGUAACGUACGGGGGCACGUGCCCCUAUCUAAUUUUUAUUUUUCUUUUAAUAAUUAGUACUAGCUUAAGAAAUGCCCUGCAAUUCUAGAACUAUACAUACUGAAAAAAUGUCAUCAUGUGCCCCCAUCUAAUUAUGAUGCUGCAUCCGCCCCUGUGUGUAGCUGCAUGUAGAAUGGUGGGACUGCAGAGGUCGGAGUGGGGAAACCGGGACAGCUAAAAAUAGAAUUGUGAAUCCUGAACUUCUCGAAAAAGAUACAAGAUGUCAUGCUUAUCUUUAUAAAAAUAGGAAAAAGCCUCAUGCCCUAAUUUUAAAUCAAAAUUAAGGGCCUCACUUAAAUAGACAACACACUAAUUUGUAAAUUAUUGCUUACAUAUAUUACAUAAUUGUUAUAUAUGUUUCUCUUAGGUUUUAGUGUCGGCUUCUAAGAUUCUGUAACUUUUAUUGAAAGAAAUAAGGAGAAUUUUUUUUUAUAGAUUAAUAAUUAAAUUACAUGUUGAUGUGUAUGAUUUCAUGUGUUUUAUGAUUUAUGAUUAAUAGCUUAAAAGUUAUGAAUCUCUUCACCGCAAGGUGAGAGACUGAUUUUUCAGUGAAAUGAUGCACUUUAAAAUUUUCACUACUACAACUACAAGUAACACACAUUUCAUAAUUCGGGGUUUAAGCGAACAUGACCUGAAGUGCACAAGAGUUAUGAAUCUACCAUUUCAGUUGUUUGUAAACACACAAACAUAAAUUUAGCGUUUAAAAUAAUUCCUUAGACUCUUUAAGAUCUUUAUUGUCAGUCUCUCUACCAAUUUCUCAAUUCCAGUAUAUAAAAGGGAUUGAGCUAGAGCUAUGAGGUUAUCCACGCUAGCCACAACAUCUUAAUUUUUAGUGUCUUCUCUUCUGUUCUGCUAUCAAAUUGAACAGUUUCUUCGUCUCUUCAGUUGUAAUCUUAUUUUUAUCUCUCAUAAAUUGUAAAUCGCUUCAGUUUUUUCAUCUCCACUAAAAGUUCUAGUUUUCUCUCAGCUCCUAUAUAUUCCUAUUAUCAAUCAAUUCACUUUAUGAAGAAAAUAUGAUUACACAAAUGGCGAAAAGCCUACAUGGAACUAACUGAGACAAUCACUUUUUUACGUAUGAGAAAGAAAAUUCUACGAGACCAUAAUACACUCAAAAAUCCAAAUAAUAAUGGUCACUAAUUGAGUUUCUUUUUUUUUUGGUCAUCUAAUUUAAUUUCUUCAAAAUACAACUAACGAUAUACUGUUUUUUUCACAAAAUUGAAAACGCAAAAUAUCAUAUCUCUCUAAAAAAAGAUUAAAAAAGAAAUUUUUUUAAAAAAAUAUUCUUUAAAAAUUGUUUUGAUUUUUAGUAAAUAUAUUUUUAAAGAAAUGUAAAAAUUAAAAGGUUAAUGGUCAUUAACUGAGUUUCUACAAAAUAUAAAUAACGACAAAUUGAGUUUUAUAAAGUUUAAUAUCUUAAAUAUCAUAUCGUUUGCCAUAAUAAAUUGAAUUAUUUUUAAUGUUUGAGUUCAAAUAAUAUUUAAACUAUGAUUUUGAAUUAUUCUAGUAUUGGUAGACCUUUCAAUAUAUGUAAACAUGUAAAUAUUAAUAAUUAUUAAUUGUGCUUCAAAAAUAUAAGUAAUGAUGAACUGAUAUUUCAUAAAAUUUAAUGUGCUGAAUAUCAUUUCUUCCUAAAGUUAAAUUAGUUUUUUUUCUGUGUUUGACUUCAAAUAAUUCUUUACAUUAUAAUAUUCAUUGUUUGGUUUUAAUAAACUUCUUUCCAGAGAUAUGUGAAAUAUACAAAUAUUAAUACUUUAAUUGAGUUUAUAUAAAAUAAAAGUAACGAUAAAUUGUGAUUUUCAAAAUUUGAAAAUGAUAAAUAUCAUAUAAUUUCUAAAAUUAAUUUAUUUGUCGUUUUUGAAUUCAAAUUUAAAUUGUAGUUUUAAACUGUUUUGUUUUUAAAAAAAUCCCUUUCAAAGAUAUGUGAAAAGCAAUUAAAAAUAAGUACAAUUAGUAAUGGUCAGUAGUUGAGUUUCUAAAAAAUAGUUAGUGACUAAUUAAACUUUCACAAAGUUUAUUAUGUUAAUAUCAUAUCUUUUCUAAAACUAAAUUGACUUGUAUUUUUCAUGUUUGAAUGCGUAAAAUUUGUAAGUGAGCGUUUUAAACAAUGUAGAUAUUAAAAGAAUAUUAGUGGCCAACUGUUAAUUGAGUAUUUACAAAAAAAAACAAAAAAAAGUAUCAAUGCCAACUAAUUGAGUUUCCCCAAAAUUUGAUAUGCUAGUUAUUAUACCAUUUGUAAAACAUAAAAAAAUCAGUUUCAGUGUUUGAAUUCCCAUUGUUUCCAACUGCAUAUUAGUUGGAUUGUAGUCACUAGAAUCCUAAUAGCAAUUUAAGGAAAGUUAAUAAAGUCCAAAAAAGUAAAUAUAUAGCCUUCUCUCUCAUAAAAUACAGCCAAUAACCUUCUCGUGGUCUUCUGUGCCAUAAAAAUCAUUAUAUACAUUCAAACACCAAUUUAAGGCCACAUAUACAUAUAUAUGUAUGUAUGUAUCUAUUAGCAUUCAUAUAUACACCUCUCUCUCUCCUUGUGUGAGUGGUGAGAUGGGUAUCCCUAUAAGGUGCAGCAUCGAACCAUCUGCAACAUUUUGACUCGUUUUCUUUUGUGUUUUUCUAACAUCUGUCUCUUCCUCACUCGAUCUCCCUCUCUUUUCUUUUUCAAUCUCCCCAACGAACCUCCCUUCAUAACUCUCUUUCUCUCCCCGGGAAAUAUGGAUAACUUCUUGCCCUUUUCCUCUUCUAACGCAAACUCUGUCCAAGAACUCUCCAUGGAUCUUAACAAGAAUCGCUCGCACUUCUCCAUGGCGCAGCCUCAGCACUUGUUGCCGCCUUACUCGUACGUUGCAUGUCCGGCACUUGAUCAGACGGGGACCAUGAAUCAUCAGCCUCUUCACUCAUCGGAUGCUUUUCCUCAGAUCCCGGUUGUACAAACCGGAGGUGAAUUCGGCUAUUUGGUUUGUAAGCCCGGUGUGAGGCAGGAACGAGGUGGAUUUCUUGAUCCACACUCCACUAAGAUGGCUAGGAUCAACAGGAAGAAGGCGAUGCUAAGAUCAAGAAACAACUCUAACCCUAAUUCUAGUUCGAAUGAGUUGGUUGAUUCAAGGAGACAAGUGGCUCUUACCAUGAAAAAUAAUGCCGAGAUUGCUGCUAGAAAAGAUUUUUAUCGAUUCUCCUCAUUCGAUAACAAGGUAUGUAUUUCUUUGGCCCAAAAUAAUGGAAUAUAUGCGAUUCUACAUUCAUAACAUGAUAAUGUUUUUGAAUUUUUUGUUGACUGUACGUAGAAACUUAGGGUUUUGUUGGUGAAGCACUUGAAGAACAGCGAUGUUGGGUCACUUGGGAGGAUUGUUCUACCAAAGGUGUGUAAAUUCUUACAUUUCUCGUAUUCUUUAUGGUAUAACUAAUGUUAAAACAAUUUUGUAGAGGUAAAAACACUAAAUAUGUUGGGGAUGGAUUGAUGAAAGAUUAUCAAUUACGUAACUACGAAUUUUAAAACCUCAAUUUCAUGAGAAAGUUUUUUAAAAGUAAUAUAAUUUCUGAUUUGGCUAUUACCAUUUAAAAAGAUAUUAUCACUGCGACCACAUAUUCUCUCAUUAUGCAAUUUCACACAUUUUCCUCCAUUCAAACCAUCGUUGUUUAACCAAUGAGAAGUUUAGUCUCUAAAACACAUGGAAAACAAGAGGGAUUUUUUUUUUGAUAAACCAGAGGAAAAUUAAACAUGAAAACAAAAUGUGAAAUAUAUAAUUGUUUAAUCAAUACGGAGUAUUUUCGUUCAUUCCUUUUGGUGUGAGCUUUUAUGUUAUACAGUACUAUAGUAUUUUUUUUAGUUUAGCAAGAAUAUGGUGAUUAAAAAUCUAGUUUAAAUUUGGUUUAUCUAUAUUUUAAAUUUGAAGGACUAAAAGUCAAAGUUUUGGAAUGAGCACCAAAAAUGAAAUACAGUAUGAAAAAAAUCGAAAUAGAUUGAUCAUAGCUCCUUCAAUCUAAUAUUCCGUGUAAAAACUUACUAACCAAUGAAUAAAAAACACGAGAAGUAAACGAUUUUCUAGUUGUAGUUAGCUAAAAUGGUUAAUAAAGUGGUUAAAAUGACUUUAUUUUGAAACGGGGUUGAAAAAAAGUCGUAUAUAUAUAUAUAUAUAUAUAUAUAUAUAUAUAUAUAUAUAUAUAUAUAUAUAUAUAUAUAUAUAUAUAUAUUCCUUUCCUAAUUAAUUGCCUCUUAAAUGGCAUUCCUCGAAAUCAUUAAGGAAAAGUAGAAAACAAACAAAAAGCCAUUAUGGAUUAAUUGGGGUAGUUUACUAGUUUUAUUAUAGAAAAAUCAUAUCAAAUCAUCCCCUUUAUCUAUCUUAGUAAGAAAAUAAUUAGUUUAUUUGCACCCAAAAAAUAAUUAGUUUAUUAAAAAGUAACUAAGUAAAUCAUGGGUUUGGAGCGCAGAGAGAAGCAGAAGGAAAUCUUCCGGAGCUAUCUGAGAAAGAAGGAAUGGUAUUAGAGAUGAGAGAUGUUGACUCUGUGCAGUCUUGGUCUUUCAAAUACAAGUGAAGUCUCGUUUCCUUUCUCUUAUAUAUAUAUUGAUAGAAAACAUUUUUAUGUUCCAUUUUUUAAUCUACCAAUAGUUUAACAAACCUUAUAAGUUCUUUAGUGAUUUUUUGUUAGUGGUAUGUUUUAUAGCUUGGAAUUUGUUAUAUCGGUUUCAAUUUAAUAUUUUUGGAACGAGAGAACUUAUAAGGCUUGCAUUAAUGUGAAACGCAGGUACUGGUCCAAUAACAAGAGCAGAAUGUAUGUCCUCGAAAACACAGGUAAUUAAGGAACUACUUUGUUCUUUCAACAAGUAUAGUUUUUUUUUUAAUUCUUUUAUGUUGAAAAUUAAAGGAGAAUUUGUGAAGAAAAAUGGAGUAUUGAUGGGAGACUAUCUAACAAUCUACGAGGACGAAAGCAAGAAUCUCGUGAGCUCUCUUAUUAACUCUCUUUUCUUAUUUUAUUUUGGAAAAGACAAAAUGUUAAAUAAUGAUUGAUUAGUAGUCCAAAAUUGGAAAUUUGAAAGUGUGUCAUUGAAUUUAGUUUGUUCAGCAUCCAGACAAAAAAAAUUAAUUGCAUUUUUAUGAUUUUUAAAUGAAGAUUUUAAUUGAUGUUUCUGCUAUAUUUGAUCAUAAAUAUAACAUUCUACUAUCUAAUUAUUACAUCUUUGAAAUAGUAGUCAAGUAUUUGGUGAUGUUUUAUCCUUUCCAAAAAAUAGUUAUUUUGAGCAGCCGAUUUAUUUGGUUUUGAAUACAUGCAUUGUACCAACCGAACAGUUUUUCAGAAUUUGGUUUUCUAUUUGAGUUAUUAUUUUAUGUAUAUAUAUAAAUAUAUAAAAAUGAUAUUGAAGUCAAUUUUGACUAGUAUGGUUUGAACUAAAAAAAAGAAAAGUUAGUAGUCUUAAUAUUUCUGUUUAUCUUCACAGAAUAUUUUUAUCAAAAUUAAUUUAAUAUUAAUGCUAAAAAAAAAUUUACAUAUGUAAAAAUCAAUACUGAAAGUAUAUAGUUAAAGUCCUAUACAUGACUUGUUGAAAUUUAAUUGAAUAAUGUUUUGGUCAACAACAUAGAACUUAUUAGAGUUUUUUUUUUUUUUGGUAAAAGAACUUAUUAGAGUUUUUUCAUGCUUAUAUUUGGUUUGGUUAUUAAAUAAUUUUCUAACAUUUAUUUCUCCUAAUUGACCAAAAUGAUCAACUGCUUUUUUUUUUUUUUGAACAACCCAAAAUGAUCAACUGCUAAAACAUCUUAUAUAUGUGUAUAUUUGUUUGGCUUCAUUACAGUACUUCUCCAUCAGAAAGCACCCACACAAACAAAAUGAUGGAAGAGAGGAUGAGUCGAUGGAAGUUAUCGAGAUGAACUUCUAUGAAGAUAUAAUGUUUGAUUACAUACCAAAUGAUGAAGACGAUUCCAUUGCAAUGCUCCUCGGAAAUCUAAACGAGCACUAUCCCUACCCAAAUGAUCUUAUGGAUCUCACUGUCAAUCUUGAUCAGCAUCAGCAAGCCACCUCCUCGUCGCCACCUGCUGAUCACAUGAGCUCGAACGAUUUCUUAUGGUGAUGUGAUGGACGUUGAUAUAGAUUCCCUUUGAGAUGAUAUACAAGGGAUAAAAAGAAAAGAGUAUCAUAUUCAUAUCCAUAUUUGUUUGAUAAAAUGUGUUUGUUCCCAAUCUAUUAUUUAUGAAAAACUUAUUUGUGUUUAGCUCCAGAUUAAUUAAAUAUUUUUCAUUUGACUUUUAUACUCCAUAAGCAAAAUUCACAAGAUGUGAAUUCAAUAGUAUUUAGUUAGGCAAUUGUUGAAGUUUUUGUGUAGUUUGAGAGAGGUUCAGAUAAUUUCCUCUUUUAUGAAAGUAUUGGUUCCGCCAUUAUCUUUCCUUUAGGAUUCACCAAUUUUUUUUUUCUGGAGAGAUUUGUUGCAAUUUCCUCUUCGUCGUUAACCGCUUCAGCUGUUAUUGACCAUGAACUGGUGGCUUAUUGAAAAUUGCUACCAAUUCUGAAUCCAGCCAGGUGUGAGUUUUUGGUAUUUCGUAUCAAUCUCUCAAAUAUUUUUUUUAAGCCUUUAUUUUUGUAUUGUUUACUAGUAGUUUUCUGCGCCAUACACAAAACUAAACCUUUCAAAAUAACUAUAUAUAUAUAAAUUUACUUUAUUAAUUAAAAAUAAAAAUAAAAAUAAAAUCAUGAAUAUUUAUUUAUUAUUUAUUUUCCAUUUGACUUAACAAUAUUUACUUUAUUUUUUUGUUUACAUAAGUUAACUGUGUUUCAAAAACAAAAGUUAAGUAAAAUUAUGCUAAAAGUAACAAUUUUGUUUAUCUUAUAUUUAUAUAUUUUAAACAGUAAUUCUGAGUAUAUAUUUUGUUUAAAUUUUACCUCAUCAAUAAAAUGUAUUUAUUUUAUUUAUCUCAUAAAAAUAAUAUCACACAACAAUUAUUGUAUAAUAUUUAAAUCCAAUAAAUUUAAUAGAUUAAAAAUUCAAUUAAUCAUCUAUAACUUAACUGUUCAUAAAAUAUUAAUUAAAAUUGUCAUAAUUUAUUUGUUAUAAACUUUUAUAAUGAAUUUUGAUGAAAAUAUAUAAUUAUACAUCGACAAACAAAUUAACUAUACAAAAUUACUUACUUAUUUUAUCAUAAGUUCAUUUUAAUAAAAAAUAUAUUUACACUUAUAUUUUUUAGAAUAUUAAUAUAAUUAUAAAUAUAAUUUACAAAAUGUAGCCAGAUUCUGUAAUAUCUUAUUUUAAGAUUUUUAACAAAUAUUAAAAGUUUUAACAUUAAAUUUGUAUAUGUCAUAGUAAGAGGGAGAUAAUCCAUUUCAUCAUUUUUCUUUCAAAAUAAAUGUGGUGAUGACACACAAACAAAGUUUAGAAAAUUAAUUCCUAAAUAAUGUUUUGGGGAUCGUUUUAUUUACGUAUUAUAAAACCUUGAAAGUUAGAGGUACUUAUUAGUUAGAAUAGUUCAAUGUAAACUAGUGUUAUUAUAACUGGAACUAUUUUAAUAAAUUUAGUUGGAUUUUCUAAUACAUUGUGGAUUAAUUAGUAUGUAUUAUAAUGAAGUUAUUUUAAUGAUAAAAUAAAAACUAACUCAACAUUAAUUUGUUAUUAAAUGUUUUUGAUAAACUUUCUUUUUAAAGAUUUUGACUAACCUUUCUUUUUGUCGAAUAUUUUUGAUAUUUUCAAGUAGUAUGUAGCUUUAAAUUUUCAGUUUGAAGUUUAAAAUGUUUACUUAAGUUAUUGUCUUUUAAUUUUGGUUAUGUAUAAUUUUGGAUAAAUAUGACAGAUUUUAGAUUAGGAAGAAUCAAUCAACUGAACCGAAUGAUAAUCAUUUUUUGGGAAUUUAUAAGUAUAAUACAUUUAGAACCAAUCCAGAGUUGAGUAGAACCGACUCGAAACCGAAUUAAAACUCUAUGGGUAUUUAUAUAAAUAUAAAACUUAUCUACAUACAAGACAAAUCCGAUAAACACUAACCCCGAAAACUUGAAUGCACAUACAUAGAUAUUGGAAUAAAAACUUAUGAUGAUGUAAUGUAAUUCAUGAAAAAAAGAAAAGGAAAUAUAUAUCUUGAUUAUUUUCAAAUCCAUCUGAAAACCUUUUUAUUUAUUUUACUUUUGUUAUAGAUAUAAGAAUACAUUAAAAUAUAUUAAUAUCAGAAUCUAAUAAAAUACAAUAGACUUCGAAUAACAUAAAGUUUUAGGAGGUGUUAUAAUUUAAUGGAAAUUCAUCUUAUAUAUUAAAACAGAAGUUACAACCUUGAUUCAUGUGUGAUUUAUUUUAAAAAAUGGACCUAAUGGAUCUAUUCAUAGAAAUUCAUAUUACAUUUUAGUUCAGACUAAUAAUAAAUAUAAUUUUUAAAAUAUAUUAAUCAUAAUAUCUUUUGAUAUCUUUUCAUUUUAAAUAUAAAUAUAUUUAUUUUAAAAUUCUAACAAAUCUGUUUAAAAAGAUUUUUACAAGAUCUUUAUUUUCGAAAUUAUAUUUAAAUAUUUUUGCUAAUUUCAAAAUUAGUUUAAAAUAUUAUUAUACAUUAAUAUAUUCAGUUAUAUAAAACUAAAAAUAAAAAAUCUAUAAUAUUUUAUUUAUUAUAUAAUCAUAAUCAAUCAUAUUAAAAUAAAAUUAUUAUAUUGAGCUAAAUAUAAUAAAAUUGUAUUAAAUUUAUAUAUUUAUAUAUUUUAUUUUCGUAAUUACAAAUUAUUUAUGUUCAAAAAUAAAAUCUAAUAUGUUGGUAAGAUGGGUUAACAUUAUCAAACUAUAUAAUACAUGUAUAAAAAUUAACAUGUAUUUCUUUAAAGUUAAUAAUAAAAAAUCAUUGUAACUACUUUAAUCAUAAUAUAUUUUCAUUUUAAAUAUAAUAUAUAUUUAUAUAUUAUAUUUUAAAAAUUCUAAUAAAUCUGUGUAAAAUUAUUUAAACAAUAACUUAAUGUAUUUUAAGUUAUCGUUUAAAAAUGAAAAUAAAUAAAUUAUAUCCUAUUUUAUCUACUUUAUAGUCAUGAUCAUGUUAAAAUAUAAUUAUUAUACUAAAAUAAAUAUGAUAAAAUUAUAUUCAAUUGAUAAAUUUAUAAAUUUUAUUUUCAUAAAUAUAAACUAUUUAUUUAAAAUAUAAUAUGAUGAUAGAACAGCUUAAAAUUAACAAACUAUAUAAUACAUGUCUAAAAAUUAACAUAUCUUAGACUUUUAUAUAUACAAUAAUAAAUUAUCUAAAAUGAAUAAGAAUAAAAAUAUUGGAAAAAAAAAUCCAGUUUUGAAAGACGGGUCAGAAUUUAACAUAAAUUAAAUACAAAAUAAUUUUUAAAUAUAUUUUUUCAUGAAUAUAUUAAUUUGUUUAAUAACUAAAUGCAAAUAUAAUAAGAUAAAUAUAUAAUAAGAAGUGGUAAAUACAUACGGGUUUAAACAAUUAAUUAAUUAUAACAUGUAAAUUAUAAAAUUAUUGUAUUUGAAAUAGUUAUAUAAAUAUUUAAGUAUAUGAUUAACAUUAAAAAUAUAUACCACUUAUAUUCGAAAACAAUAAUUUAUGUAUAGAAAAGUGAAAACAAACACCCGUACGGUUGCACGGGUCAAAAUCUAGUGUAUAUUAAAUUUAGAGUCUUUUUUAUUUAAGUUUAGAGUCAAAUCCAGUGUUACAAUAAAAUCUCAUAUUAUCAAUGUAUAUUGGAUUUUAUUAGAUUCCAGUUAUGAGAGAUUUUUCUGGAUUUAAUAUACUUUUAUCUGUAGAAGACUAAAACAAAUACAUUUUUUUCAUAUUUCCAGUAUUUAAAAUAUAUAACUUCACUAUUUUUUGUCUUUUUAUAAACUAUAUUAUUCAUUUUUUCAUUGUAACAUUUAGACAUGAGCAUUAAGAUUUCCGGGAUGAGUUUGAAUCGGUUUUUAUUGGGUCCAUGUCUUUCAGAGAGAAGUUUGGACCCAUAUAGAUACCCAUAAAUUUAUAUUUCGUGUUGAGUCGGUUCAACUGAUUAUGGAUCAGGUCAGAUCGGUUUUAAAUAGUUUAUACCUAAAAUAUCUUAAAAAUUGGGUAUAUUUCUAUUUAUUUUUUCAGUUCUUUUUAAUCUAAAAUUGGUCAAAUUUAUCCUAAAAUAAGAUAAAUAACCAAAAUUGAGUCAGAAAAUAAUUAAAAUUAAAAUUUUAAGAUUCAAGCUGAACAUUGAAAGUUAUAUACUACUUGAUUUUUUCAAAGCAAAUUCUACAAAAAGAAUGGAUUGGUAAAAAAAUAUGCAAUGAAUUGUUUUACUAAAAAUAUUUUAACUGAAUUUCAUUUUCUUAUUGAAUUGAUAAUACGAAGAAAUUUAUUAAAAUAUAUAAUAAUUUAUCUAUCAUGUAUUAGAUGAUUUAACUAAAUCUAUUAAAAUACUUGCCAUUACAAUUACACUAAAAUAAACUGAUCUACUCAACACCUCUUCAAUGUAUUUCAUAUUCCAUCUAAUAAGAAUUUAAUCCAAUAACACCAGAUUUGAUUAUAAAUUUAAAAUACAUUCAACUCUACUAAAUUAUAAUACUCCAUCCUUUCGAAAAGAUACAUAUUCUAGAAUUUUUUUCUGUUUCAGAAUGUUAUAUUUUUGUAUUUCCAAUGCACUUUUUAUCAAUUAAUAAUGAUUAAUUGUAAACUUUAAGAAAAUUAAUUGCAUUUUCUGAAUUUUUAUUGGUUUAAAAUUAUAGGAAAUAGAUAAUGAUAGAAAUUAUGUAUUUAAUAUUGAAAUUAAAUAUGUUUUAUUAAUCUGUGUGAAAAACCUAAAAUAUGUAUCAUUUUGAAAUGGAGGAAUUAUUCAUUAACACCAUCUUAAUGCAUGAACAAAAACAAAAACACAAAAUAUAUAAAUUCAAUUGAAUCUACAUUUACAACAAUAAUCAAACUGUAAUCCUGUAGUUACAUUGUCAGAAGAAAUUCUCUUACUACAGCGCUAAAAAAAACUCAAAUGAAUUUUUAAGAUCUCAUAUUACUAUUUAAUAUAUAAUUUAGUUAUAUAAUUAAAUAUCCUUUUCUUUUUAAGUGACCAAUCCAAUUAUAAAAUGAUACUCCCUCUGUUCCUAAAUAUAUGAUGUUUAGAAUAGUUUUUAUGUUCCAUAUGUAGGAUGUUCUCAUAUGUCUAGGUAGCUUUAAGUUUAUCAAAAACUGUGUAACCAAUCAAAUUUAAUAGUUUUAUUUUGUAAUUGGUUGAAUAGUUUUAAUUUAAAAAUUUAAUGAUACUUUUUAGAAAAAAAGUAACUUUCUUAAUAAGUGUGUUUUACCUAAAAAUCUUAUAUUUAGUAACAGAGGGAAUACUAAACAUGUUUAGUAAUAUGUAGAAUUAUAGUAUAAUUGUAACCACAUAUAUCUUGCAAAAUUUUUAAAAAAUCUCGGAUUAUAUUUUUGAAACCUUAAAAUCAUGUAUAUAUAUAUUAGGGCGUAGUCCAAACUCUUCCCAGUUUACAAAAUUAAAGAGAAAAAUAUAUAUUUUUUUUUUAACACCAAGAGAAAAAGUAUAAUUUGCAUAAAACUAAGUAUUUUCCUUUGUCUUGUAUACUAUAUAAACAUGUGUUAUUAUUAUUCCUUCCUAAGCAUGACAUGUUUAACGCAUACUUAAAUAUCUUGCUUGCAACACAAGAACACAGAAAAUGGUACCUAACCUCACGGCUUAGAAUUUCGGUCCUGGAUCUUGGACUCCGUCGACGUGAACUGUGUCUCCGGUUACUGGUUCAUAAUGGUGCUGAUCGGUGCAGUGCUGGUGGUGUUGAGACGCAAUGCCUCCCGUUUUACAUUCACUCCUAAUCUCGGCUUGCCACGUUCUCCACUGUUUGGGUCUGAUACCUAAUUCCAAGUUGCAACGAGACUACGUCGAUGGCCUCCUGAGAACACAUCUGCAACUCAAGGUGCAAUUUAAGUGACUCUCAGAUCAGGGCGGCACAAAUCGGUGGUCGACGGUGGUGGUUGGUGGUGAAGAUACGUGAACGAUGGUGAAUAUAUACAUGCAGCUGUUGAAUCGGCUGGGAUAAAUGGUGGAUUACGAUGACUCCUUUGAUGACUACAUGGAUCGCCGGUGACUUGUGGCUCAUGGCGGUGACUGGUGGUGGUGAUGUGUCACAUGUGGUGAUGUAACCGUGACUGAACCAGCAGGUGACUUGGAGCAGGAUGCCUAAACGAACUAGAUGAGCUAAGUGACACUAAUUUGGAGCACAAUGAGCUGAAUGAGCUAAGCUACAUUGAGGUUGUUAUGGACCGAGCUAGAAAGGAAGAAAUUCGGCCCAAACCUGAUGAUAGAUCAGAGUUGUCUUUCUCAGUCAAAAAGGAAACAAAGAUCCAUUCUCCUUGUCUAGAGGUCCAAUCACAAGAUCACAAACCAAGAGACUGAAGGAAGCUAUUUAGUGUCUGUUUACCUGAACCAGGAUCAAAACAAUUCAAAAAUCAAGUGAAAGUGCCAGCCAAUUUAUUCAACUAUUCAGUCUCCAAGACCACCUAGGAUUUAUCUCUUUCGUUUUUUGUUUUCUACAAGUCAUUAGGAAAACUGUGUUCUUUUCUUCUACAUAAACUCAUGUAUUGUUUCUGAAUUAUUCAUUCACUUUUGUCAAACAAAUCUCUUUUGUCUCUGUAAAUCCCUUGUUUGUCUUUGAACAUUGACUACUUAGGAGGGAAAUCUCUGCAAGCAACUAUCGUUUUUUAUCAUUGUUUGUGGGAACGCCUCUCACGAUCAAAGACAAAUCUACACAAAUGUUGAUCAGUCAUAUAUCCACACUGCAGUCCAUCCAACCCUAUUCCAUCCCUCAUCAAUUUAAUUGUGUUAGUAACCAAUUUGAUCAUCAAAACCAUCCUGAUUGUGCUAGUAGCCAUCAGAAUAUCAACCCAAAAUCGACCCUCAAGAUCAAUAAAAGGGAUUAAACCAUCAAGGAUUUCAUUAAGUGUGUCACAUGUGGUGGCUCCUCUCUCACUCACGCAUCAAAAAGGGCUGCUGCCCUUUGUAGAAGGAGAUGAAUACACAUGUAUAUAUUAAUAUAUAUGUAUACGGUAUACCACGUUUAGUGAAAGGGAAACAAAUAUUUGAACCAGACUUGGUUUAGUAAACCAGGUUGUUAACAUAAAGUUUUGAAAUCAAAUUCUUCUUUCCGAAAAAUCCAUAUUUUUCUAGAUGUUAACAUAAAGUUUUUUUCCUGCUCAUUAAUUAAUUUACUUUUUUGUCAAGUAACGAAUUUUAGGUAAAAAGAAUUGAAAUGAUGAUACUUUUUUUGUUACUUUGAUGUAUGUUAUUUUAGGUGCAUGAAACAUAGUGAACAAUCAUUGAGUUCUUUUCUAGAUCCAAUUUUUCACCACGUCAAUAUCCAACUUUGGUGUAGCAUUUGAGUUGAGAUCGUUGAUUUCGAAUACACUUCUAUAUAUUGUGGAUGCGUCUUCGUGCUAAUAUUAUAUCACGGUCAAUAAAAUUUAGUAUUUAGGUUGUUAACAGAUAUACAUGUUGUUAGUUCGUUGUAUGUUUCCGUCAGAAGGCUUUGAUUGGUAAUAUAUAUUACUAAUGACUCAAAAAAUUUACCAAUCAUGAAUUAGUUUUAAAUUUUUUAAGUUGUGUUUAAGUUGUAAUAUAUUAUUAUUCAGUUACAAUUUGAAGUUAUAACCUUUGUAAAAAUAAUAAAUCAAAUAUUAAAUUGUUGAGUUAGAGAAUUUUUUAGGUUUUCUAAUAACUACCCACGUCCAUUUUCUUAUUUCUAACAAAUUCAACAAUUUACAAAAAAAAAAUGAUCAUAUAGUUCAAUACAUAGUUUUAUUAAUUAAUAAACUAUAUUUAAUCAUUUAACAUUAGCUAUCUACUAGUUAGCCAAAGAUUUCUCAAAAAAUAAUCACUAAAAUUAGUUAAUCAAAACUGUUUCUAUAUUUUAAUUGUUAAUUUUGUUUGGUAACUAAAAUUUACGUCCAUAAAUUAUAUAUAUAUAUAUAUAUAUAUAUAUUCAAGUUAAUAUAUUUUAUUUCUCUCUACAAUUUUCUUUAUUGAAAUUAUUUAUAUUAAUUUUAUAUUUCAAAAAUAAUACAUACUACCGUUUAUACAUCAAAAUUUUUACCUAUUAAUUAUGUUACUAAAAUAGUAACUUAUAAUACAGCAAUUUUUUUUGAAUGAAUCUGAAAAUUUAUUCAAUCCAAAUUUUUUGUUUUUACAAUGACUGCUUUUUUGUUUUUGACUUUGAAAGCUAUCAAAGGUUUAAAAAAACGAGCAUAUGUGAUGAAAACAGAGCAUGUAUCCAUCUGAUCUCUAGUUUCUUCUCAAACUAAACCACAACCCAUAGCACCAUCAUAUCUGCUACGAUCUUCUUCCCCAGAGACAAUAUGUGGUUUCGAACCGUUUUGUCAAUAUUUUGUUGGAUUUGUGUUUGCCCCAUGCUUACUUCACCAUGACAUCUUCUAUAUCUCUCCCACCAUAUGGUGUAUAUUGUAGCUUGAAAGACAUAGCGUAAUGUGAAGAGGGGAGUGUCAUCCUUUAAGAAACCCACGAUCAACUCAAGGAUUCGACUCCACUCGUUUGUAUAGCUAGAGCCCAGCAGCGCCGAAGUACAAAAAUCUACAACAAACUCACUAAAUAAAUCUACAGCUUCUACUCCAUAAUUUUUACUAUAAAUUACAUCAAAUCAUAAUUUUUAGCGUAAAUCAACUUUAAUACUAGCCUCAAUAAUAUACAAGAGACGUUUCACACAUUGUAUCGUUUAUCUAUUAAUGUGGUUUAUCUCUCUUUUUUUGGUGUCUGAUAUUAUGUGAAUGAGUGGCUAAACAUCGUCAUUAACUUUAACAAAUACUGCAAGUGAAAUGACAAGUAAGAUGGUAUACACUAAGGGUUCGACUGGUACCAUUCUGGAAUCAAGAAGAACGAAUAGAAAAGGAACAUAAAGGAAUUCAUUCUUAAAUUUAACAAGGAAUAUUUUUGUUUUUUAUUUUUCUACAAAAAAAAAAGAAUGGUAGGGAAUGAGAAGAAAAAAUUAUUCCUUAUGAAUGAUGAUAUUUUUUAGGAACGUUAGGGAAUACAUUAUUCCUCGCCGUUUUCUGGUUACCUUUCAUAUGCGUCAGACAAUUUGGGGACAUGAAUUACCUAGAUAUGUUUAGUUGAUAGGAGAAAAUUAUAAUGAGAUUACUUCAAAGUUUUGCAUAGAAAGGCCCAACUUAAGAUUAGAAAUUUAUACUUUCAGGCUUUAGCAAACUAAUUAUUUAUUGUUUUAAAAAAACAAAAAAAACAAACUAAGUAUUUAUUGAGACAAUCAAAACAAUAAUAAAAGGAGGAUAUGCUCACCGGAGAGCCCCUCCACGUCAGCACUUAUAUUUGACCAAUAGUGUGUGUUCGUUUGUCCACGACCAACAGACGCUAUCUGAACUUGGGCUUCACAUUUUAAUUGAUUCAUAAUAAGCUCAUUCUCGUGCGUAGUCCAAGAUCAGCCUCAUCUCACCACUUACACUUACGAUCCCUUGCGGCGAUUCAUCUCUUCGACGACUCAUCACUUCGCCGUUACUCCUUUUCCAUGGAUCGAUCAAUCGGCACCGUAUUCAUGAGUGAAUCAUCCUCUGGAGAACUCAUUAAUGUGUUCUUUUGCCUAUCUUCCUUCCAAUCUCUAUAUAACCUUCAUAUCUUCUCCAGAUUAGUUACACACACAAAUAUCUCAAACCAUGAAUUCCAACAGUCAAGCACCUAUUUCCGGCGAUGUUACCACGACGAAACCAAACGGAAAAGACGUUGUCUCCUCCGCCGAGCCUGUCAAACGAGUCGGUCAAACCGGAGUCUUUCUCGCCAGAUCUGCUUCUGGCGUUUCAAAAUCUAAGAAACCAGUCGGCAGAGCCGUUAUCUCCUCUACCGAUACGGCCAACCGAGCCGGUCAUCCCGGAGACCCUCUCGCUACAGCUAUCUCCGGCGAUUCCAAGUCCAAGAAAUCAAGCGGCAAAGCCGUUGCCUCCUCCGCCGAGCCGGUCAAAGGAACCCGUCAACACGGAGUCUCUCCCGCUAUCGCUGUCUCCGGCGAUCCAAAGUCCAAGAUACUCAACGGCAGAUCCGUCGUCUCCUCCUCCGCCGAAGUACUGUUCUUCAGAGAUGUCAAGUACGGACCACAAGAAGGCGAGCUAAGGUUUCGUCUGAUACAUUUUUGGGAGGCUCGGAACGCACUCACGAAGGUCCUGUUCGGUCUCGAAAUGAUUCUGAUCGACGGACAGGUCUAUUCCAACGUUUAUGAUUUCGUAUUGGUUUUGCUUUUCCGAUCAAAUAAUAACAUUCGUCGCUUUGUUUUUUGUUAUCAACAGGGUACUGUGAUCCAGGGGUUCAUCCCACCCAACAGGAUCGAGACCUAUUUGCCACAUAUGUUCGCUGGUUCCGUCUACAGGCUUAAUAACUUUUAUGGAUCUAAAAGCAAGACUGUAUACCGAGUUGCUGAACCAUUAGUGACGAUUGCUUUCUCAUGGAACUCUGUGCUCUCACCUCUCGAGAACAGUCCGAUUCCGUUUCCUGAAGACCGGUUUCGUUUCUAUGGUUAUGAGGAGUUUGAAGCGGCCUGUGACCUCAAGGGAGAUCUUUAUGGUAAUCUUCUCUCGAAAUCUUUUGUUUAUCACUUGAUUGGUUUGGAAUACGGGGUCCUUUAGUCGUGUAGGUUUAGGUUUGUUAGUAUGAUAUACAAUAAUAAGUAUUGAUUUAUCUUAUGGCAGAUUAUGUCGGUCACAUGAAACUGGUGAAUGAGCAGACCUUGAGUGAUAGUCUUGUGCUUGAUGAAGUCGAGAUAGCUUCUUCCAGGAGAAUUUUGGUCCAUGUCCAGACGCAUGAGUGAGUUCUCUUUUUAGUUAUCGAUAUCACGAGUUGUAGAACGCAUUGAUAGAUAUUUAGGAACACUAUAAAUAAUAAUUAUACAAAAAAAUAUAAAUAAUAUUUUAUAGAUAUGAUCUCGAGAUUAGAAAUAAAUUAAUUUCUCUUUGAUGGAUUAAAAUUAGUAUAUUGAGUUCUUUUUGUAUAAAAAAAAUCCUAACUACAUGAGUUUGGUUUGAUGCAGUGGUCCUGUCAUGAAGCUGUACAUAUGGGACAAGGUUGCUGUAGACUUCUGUGAGAAGUUUAAAGCGCUUGGAAAACCUCCAACCGUUAUUCUGGUUACAACUGUGAAUCCAAAACGUUUUGGAGGUUAGUAUUACCUAAACUUGAUUGUGGUUUAUUGAUGUUAGUAGGAGGCGUGUGGAACAUUGGUUAUUUGCUAAAUUUAUUUUUGUUUGGUAUGGAACAUUGGUCAUAUUGCAGGUGCCUUAACUCUGUCAUCUCUAUCCUCAUCGCGUGUGUUUUUUGAUAUGGAUGUUCAAGCAACCCGGGAAUAUCUGGCUUGGUAUGUGUUCAUUUAUUGAUUUGGAACAUCUAUUCCAAUUCACCGAGCGAUUAACUUUUAAAUUUUUUUUGUUUCUGAACAUUUACACAGGUUUGAAUCGAACACAGAAGUUGCCAAUAGGGUGUAUGCUGAGAUUGUCACCAAAGCCGAGACGGCUACUAUAGGGGAGCUGUUAUCUUACAUGAUGCAGGAAGAGGCAAAGGUACAAUAUUUGAUUCUUUAGUCCAUACGUUGCGCUAGCUUUAGUUAUUUACGAUCUUCUCUGAUAUAAUUCGCAGGUAGCUUGGUUUGAGUGCACAGCCACUAUUGAUGAUGUUGUGCGUGAUUCGGCAUGGUAUUAUAUUGCUUGUGGUGGGUGCAAGACUAAAGCAACCAAAGGGCCUACCACGCUUAUGUGUAAGAAGUGUGGAAAGACUGAGAUUGUCGGCACUCCAGAGUAAGAUUUGUAUUCAUAUUUUUUUUUUGUGUCAGAUACACUUUCAGCAUCCAUUAAUAAUGUUCUUAUGUCAUAGGUAUCUCACGAAGAUCUCUGUCUAUGACAACAAUGAUCACGCAAGCUUCGUGCUUCUCGGUGAUGCUAGGCGUGAGUUGACUGGGAUGAAAGCCUCGGAUUUGGUUGAGAGCUACUUUGAGGUAAUUACAUACCUAUCCAUCAUUUAGGUUUAGAAUGUAUUCUUAUACAUGAUUGGCUAUGUAUUAGGCCAAUGAAAACGUCGGAGAUGAUCAUGUCGUCCCGGUGCCACAGUCUCUUACUGAUUCCAUUGGACAGUCUCGCACGUUUAUUAUCAAGGUAUCAAAACACAACCUGGAUGGCAAGACCCAGACUUUGACUGUCACCAAAGUUCUCCCUUUAGAAGUUCCAGCACUUGAAGGCGACAUAGAUGAAGGCGUGGAAGAGGAGCCUGUUGAUGAAAAGGAUGGAGCUGCAGAUGGGAAUGUGAAAAGGAUAUCUGAUGGGAUUGAGUCGGGAGAGACCAAGCGUGCCAAAUGUGACUAAUAAGUUUCUGUUACUGUUUUCUUUGUUUUAAUAAAGACUAUGCUUUGUUUUUUCAUCUUCAGACUUUGCUUUUGUGUCAUUUGAACAAUCUUGGUGUUUGAUAAAGACUAUGCUUUGUUUUAUUCCUUAUUGCUUAAUACUUGGCUAAGGCUAGAAGUAGCUGAUUGAUACCUUUGAAUGCUUGGAUAAUAUAUUUACGUAUGCAUGCAGGUAUUACUUAGUAUAUUAGCAUCUACGUUAAUCAUAUAGUCAUUUUUAUAUGAAGCAUCUACUUUGUUUUUUUAAACUACAUCACUUGGUUAAUAUCAAACCAAUUGCGAAAACCUAUUCAAAAAGAAGUUGCACGAAUAAAUUUGUGAUUUCCUUAAUAUACCAUGUGGCUUGAAAAUGUGAUAUUAUAUGAUCACUUAACAUUGCUUGAAAUUAAUUUCUUUGAAACAUUUGAUUAAGAAAGAUAAUCAAUAUAAAAUAUAUGUUUUAUUGAAAUGUAUCUAUACUAUUAAAACUGCAACACCAAACAAAUAAAUAUCUUAACUCUUUCUAGAAGCCAAAAUGGAAAUUUGCUGAAACAUAAAAAAAAUAAAUAUCUUAACUCUUUCAUGAAUAUUUUUCGAAUUAUUUUGAAUUUGUUUCUUUAUAUUUUUUAAAUUGAAACUAUUUUUAUUUUAAAUUUGAAAGGAUUUCGAUUUUUUAUAACAUAUAAUUUGAAAGCUAUAUAAAACUUAAAACAUAUAAUUUCAAUUUUCAGUUUUCAACUACUAUACGUAAAAAAAUAUGAUUACGUACUCUUUUUUUGAAAAGAGGGUUUUAUAUUUUAAGUAAUUUAUUAGAGUACUUUUUAUUUUCGUGAAUUUAUUCGAGAUGAUAUCCCAAUCUUUUAAAAUAAGAGAAUUUAUGUUCUAUACAUAAUUAUAUUAUUUUAGAUUUUUUUCAUAUUUUAUUAGUUAAUUGUGUUACAUAUAAUAGAAAUACUUAAUUCAAACUAAAAUAUAUUUUAAAAAACAAAUUUUAAAAUUAGUUAAGUUAAGUUAAAAAUGAUAAAUAUAACAAAUUUAAAUAUAUUAUCCGCGCGUAGCGCGGAGAAAGGAUCUAGUGUCUAUAACAAAUCGACUGUUCAGUUGAUUUCCACUAUGAUGAGUGGUUUAUUUUGCAAAGCUUAACAAUAAUAAAUAUUUUGAUACUUAUAACGGGCUUGGGCUUUGGUCGGCAAGCGUAUUUGUAAUGUUCAUCCAUAGCUGUCUAUGUGAUGGAAUCUUCCAAUACUGAGGUUUCUCAAAUCUUGCUGAAGACGACAAAGCUGACAACAAUCUUAUGAUCCUUUUAGAAUGUGGAGUCGGAGGCGUAGAGGAGCUGGGUUAGCACAUGUAUUGUAAUAAGGAUCUAAUCUAAUAUAAGAACUAUAUAUUUUGAUUAGGAUAAGAGAAUAUACAAAAUAUGUGUUGUACUUUUUCCUAUAUAUAUAUAUAUAUUUAACCGUGUGAAUUAAUAAUACAUGCAUAGUUAUUCAUUUCCUUCUUAUACAUACAUACCAUAUACAUUUGCAAAAAAAAAACAUCUAUUGACGCAUAUCAAACAUCAAGUUAUUCACUGUUACAUUAAAUGUUAAAUUCAGGCUUUUCAUGGGUUUCAACUUAAAAACAAUUGGAUUGACCCUAAACAUUUAUAUAUUACUCAUGGCCUAGACAAACUCUUGAUGUGGGAGCUUAUACUCUCCACAUAUUACUCAUGGCCUAGACAAACUCUUGAUGUGGGAGCUUAUGCUCUCCACACCCUCUCUCGAGAUGAUGGUUCUUAUAACCAUUAAUCUCGACAAUAUCCCAGACUAAGAUUUAGUUCAGUCCGAACUCCGGACAAUUCGGGUCAAGGUCGGUUUUAGGAUCAAUCGGGCCUCUUUUGAUUGGCUUGAUCGAUUUUAAUUCAGUUGGGCAUGGUGUGUUCGGACUCUUAAAUUCAGGUUUAUCGUCGGUUUCCAAUUUAAAACCAAUUACUUAUAAUUAAAUUGACCUUAAACCUUUAUAUAUUACUCAUAUCCUAGUCAAAUUCCCGAUGUGUGAGCUUAUAUUAUCCACAUUAAUGUGCCAUUCUUUCGACGAUGGUGUUGAGAACUUCUUUUCACAAUAACUCAUCUGCAGCUGGGACUCCAUAACGUUUAUAUGGUGUGGAGUUGGCUGCACACUUUUUUAAGAGGGUUGGACUCCUCUUGUCACUAAUCAUCUUAUCGUAUCUUGAACGAUCCAGACCUGAUCCCACCUGUAUGUUUGCAUCGUGUUGCGUUUUGAUCAUCCAAUAAAGGCGGCUUUCGAACUGAAUUAACUAAAUCGUGUCGGAGUAUAAUUUUGUGAAAUUCUUAUGUUAUGAAUAUCAGUUGGAGUUGCAUUCACUCAUUAUAAUGUACUAGGUAAUUAUCCGCGCUACGCUGCGAAAUUUUUUUAUUUUUUAUUUUAUUGUUUAUAAAAUAUUUUCAUUUUAUAAAUGAAUAAUUAUAUUAAUAUAAGUUUUGUAUCAAAAUAUUUAUAAUCUAGACAUAUAUUGUAUUUUUUAUAUUAUGGUUAUUGUAUAAUAAUUAUUUAUUUGAUAUUAAACUUUAAAAGAUUAACUUCCAAGUUAAGUUUUUCGCACCUUUGUUCUCAAGUUGGUGGUGUAAAAUCUCUUUUUGUUUUUUGGGUUUUAGGUUCCAGUUUAUGGUCUAAAAGACUAUAAUACAAUCAUCUUUCCAUUCCAUAAAAGUAUUUCAUAUUUUUAUUUUUGUUUCAAUAUAAAUAUCAGUUUUACAUUUUAUAUAUUAAAAACUCAGUUUAAUCCUGAUUUUUACCUUUUGUAUCGAUCAAAUAAAAAAAUAAUGUGGAGUUCUAAUUAAAAAUAAUAUAGAGAACUUAAGUAUUUUCUUAAUAUUUUUUUUGACAGCCGCCUUAUAACCAUACUUAUGUAUUUGAUCCUUAUUUUGAUGUCGUAUUCUAUCAUUCUUACUAAAUGAUAUACGCUAAAUUUUUUUUACAUCACUUUUAUAUUUAUACUUUAUUAUUCAUUUAUUUUUCAAUUGAGUUUAAGGUUAAGGAUAGAAGUCCAAUUCAUUUCUUUUCCUACGCUUUUCUGGUUCACCAAAUUUAAAAUUCAACAUUGUAGUAAAUGUCCUUCACUUCACUUCAAAUUUAAAAUUCAGUAUUGUAGUAAAAUAAUUAGCCUUUGUUAAAAUAAUAUAUUUUGUAAAAUGAUUUCGGUAAAUAUUCCAUCACCAAUAUUAGUAUUGGCUUUUGAAAAUAUUUUACAUAGAAUAUAUUAUGUGAUAUUUUUGAUAAAAUUCGUAACAUAAAUGUCUGUGCAUUCUUUAUUUGUUGAUGUAGUUGCUCUUUCAUUUUGGUGAACUUGUCUACCAACUUUGAGAAUGAGACCAACCAUUUGCAUCAUAAUUAGACCAGAGCUAGUAUGAUCGACUCUUCUUAGCAGUUAGAACUAAAACUAGUAUGAUCGAUUCUUCUUAGCAGUUAGAACCAAAGCUACUAUGAUCGCCUCUUCUUGAGUUUCAAAAAGAAUUAUUCUUGAGGAAAUCUCAGCUUAGUUUGAGCUUAACAACUCAUCAAAUAAUCUUAUUGUCCGUUUGAUUGUUUGUGGCUUCUUCACCCGAUGGAAUUAUGGAUUGUGAAUUUGUGGUCUUCUUCAUGUUUGAAUGUUACUUAUGAUCCCUAAUAGUGUCAUGUUAUAUGGUCUUCGAUUUCACCAAUUUAGUAAUAAAUUGUAAUAAUCUGGUUUACUAUAAUCUGUUUGGUGUCUAAUUAUAUUUAUUUUUAUCAAAUCAAAACUCAGUUAUUUUAUUCACUUUAACCUAACCCGUAUAUUUCUAUAACCAUAUAUAUCUCCUUCUACCUAAAGCCAAGUUGUCAUCUUCUUUGUAUAGUAAACACUGAUGUUUCUCACCAGCACUCCUUUUUCUGAUCUUCUCUUCUUCCCCUACUUCAGACUUCGUUUGGUUAUUGGUUCGUCCCUCAAAUCCUCCUCUUCGUUCAUGUAUGCGAAAAAGACGUGUUCGUCUCCGAUCGUCACCACCACUGUUGUACAUAGAGUGAUAGAAUCAUCUCAUCUUUACUCUUGUUGGUAUUAUGUAGCGGAACCGAGACUUGGAGGAGAGCGACAUCGGGGCUGCCGCUCUUCACCAUCACUAGACGCUGGAAUAUUCACAAUCCACCGGAGAUAUGCACCGUUACCAUAAACCCUCGAACUCCCACCCAAAACCCUCUACACUUGCUCACAGAUCUCUUCGCUCUCCGAGAAAGAAGAUGGAGGAGGAUCAUGUUUUCUCAUCUGUAAUAUAACAUGAUUUUAAUGGUAUUUAGGAUAUCAUUUUGCUCAUUCUAAUCAUUCUAGGUGGCAUUUAGGUCUUUAUAUUUCAUUUUCAUACAUAAUUGCAUUUGAUAGGGUUUGGAAUGCACAUUUGAAAUUUUAUGGCGAAAUCAUGGGUUAAAUUUCACAUUAUGGAAGUUUUGGGCCCACUGUGAUGUUAACAAGAGUCCAGGGACCAACGCUGCAAAUUUACAAUUCUCGGUUGGGUUAAAUUGCACAAUUGAAAGUGCAGAGGUCUUGGGCCCAAUGUGUUGUUAACAAGAGUUCAAGGACCAACGCUGCAAAUUCACAAUUCUCGGUUGGGUUAAAUUGCACAAUCGGAAGUACAGAGGUUGAUUUGAGAGGGGUGUGUCUGCAUUGGGGUCAAAUCGUGAAUUGUCGAAAACGUUAAGGACCAUAUGUGCAAAACAGCUAAAUAUCACCAUUGUCGUUCUUCUUCACUUUAAUCCCGACGAUUCCGGCGGUUACCACGGCUGAUUCCGACAAUGGCGAUGGCUGAGAGUACAACGAAGUAGGCGACUUGGAUGAGAGACCCAUUGGAGGAUCUGUCGAGCUUCUCGACCGGAAGCUCAGCCACAACAGAGAUGAUAAUCGGAGUUGCAGAGGACGAGUCCGGUGCUGCUGGCUGGAACACGAACUGAACCAUCACCAUGAGCCAAGCCUGAGACGAAGAAGAAGAAUAUGGAGUUCACGAUUCAGGCCCGAGACACACACGACGAACUGCGACGGAGAAGAGGAAGCUCGAGACAGAGGUGAAUCAUGAGGAGAUGAAGCUGGCCACAAGGCGGGAAGAGAUGAGUCGAGCUAUGGACUCCGGUGACAGAAAAGGUGAACUGCAGUGAAGAUGAAUCGUGGCGGAAAGUUUGAAACAAUCGAAGGAUACGAUUUCAACGGAGAAGAAGAAUUGACGUGUACAAACAAAAUAAGUUGAUUGGUUCUUCAAGUUUUGUCAGUUUAUGACAUGUCAAUCCUUCAGUUAUUUUAAAAGCUGGGAUGUCAUGUUCUGGAGAGAACCUUGCUCCAUUAUUGUGUUGAUUUUUGUUUGGCUUUUAUAAAAAAAGAUUCCAGCCCCCAAGUUAGUUAAUUAAAUAUCAAUUCUCUUAUGGGUUUCAACGUACACUUCACAUUUGCCAAAAGUUAGAGCUUCAUGUGUUAAGUGUAGAGAUGUGUUUGCUGGAUAUUAUAGCAUCUGAAUCCGUCACUACUUUUGGAUACUGUGGUAGAAGAAUCAUCAUUUAAAAGAAAAAUAAACAUUAAUAGAUUGAAAAAUUGCAAGUUUCAUACACAUAAAAGCAUGUAAACUCAACAUCAUUUAAUGUUAUCUUUUCAAAACUAUAUUAUUAUCUUUGAAUCUACCAUAUGCUUGGAUAAUACAUAUAUACUAAAAAAUAUUCUUCUGUUUUAGAAAGUUAAUAUUCUAAAAAAUUAUUUCCGAAAAAAUACAUUUUCACAUUUUCUAUGUAUUUCUUUAUUAGGUAAUAGUGAUAAAUUAUAAAUUUUAAAAUUAAUUAGACUUAUUGAAUUUUUAUUGGUUUAAAUUAUAAGAAAUAAAUAAACACAAAGUAACAUAUUUAUAAUUAAAAUUAAAAAUGGUUUUUUUUUAAGAAAGAGAGACAGUGCAUUUUUACAAUGAUUUCCACAUUUGGCUUGAACUGUAGAGACAUUGGGAAUUAGAGUUACUCUACCAUUGAAUACCUAAGUGUCAGCACAUUUUAUAUAUUUUCAACCAGUAUCUAAUAUAUUAAAAUAGAAGUCAUGACUUUUUUUCAUGUGUGAUUUUUUUAGUUUGGACCAUUCCUAGAAAAUAUCAUAUUUUACAUAAGUUCAUUAUUAUUUUUUUAAUAUCUUUAUCUUUUCAUUUGAAAUACAAAUGAAUAUAUUUAAAAUGUUCUAACAAAAUAUUUUUAAAAUCUUCUUAGAAUCUUUUUAAAUUUACUUUCGAAAAUUAGUUAGUUUUAAUUUAAAUUGUCAUCAAAUAUAAUUAGAAAUAAAAAUUGAAUAUAGUUUUGGUUUAUAAACGAAAAUUUAAAUAAAAUGAAAUUAAUUAAUUUCAAAAAUACAUUUACUAAUAAUUUUUAAAGAUUUUGUUAGAAAUAAAUAUUUAUUUCUAUUAUAAUUUUUCAAAUUUGUUUUCUAAUAAAAUAAAAAUCAUGAUUUUUUGAUGAGUGAUAUUUUUAUUUGGACCAUCAUUUAAAUUUUCUAUUAAAUGUAUAUCACUAAUGCUAAUAUAUAUAAUAUUUUUAACUAAUUUAAUCAUAAUAUAUUUUAUAUCUUUUAAUUUUUUUUAAAAAAAAUUAAAAUUCUAACAAAUCUCUUGAAAAAGAUUAUAAUAAUAUCUUAAUUGUUAUAAAUUGAAUAUAAAUAUUUUCAACUAAUUUUGUAAUUAGUAAUGAAAUGUUACUAAAAGAGUAAAAUUAUAUCCUAUUUUAUUGAUUUUAUAAUAAUAUCUAUCAUUUUAAAAUAAAAACGUUGUAUUGAAAAAAAUAUGAUAAAAUUAUUUUAAAUUGAUAAGUUAACAUAUUUUAUUUUCAUAAAUAUUAACUAUUUAUGCUAAAAAUAUAAUAUGUUGGUAGAACAAGUUAAUAUUAGUAAAGUAUAUAAUACAUGUAUAAAAAUUUAUUUUAUCUUAAACUUUUUAAUAUAUAGUAAUUUAUUAUAUAAAAUUAAUAAACAUUAAAAAAUUCUAAAAAAAAUCUAGCAAUUUGAAUUACGGAUCAUAAUUAUAAUAAAUUAAAUACAAAUUUUGUUUACAUAUAUGUUGUUUCAUGCAUUAAAAAAUUUAAUUUAGUAAUCAAACGCAAAUUCAAUAGGACAAAUAUAUAAUAAGCAACAUAUAUAUGUGAUGAUUUUAAUUUACAGCAUGAAAACUAUAAAAUUAUUAUAUUUGGCAUAAUUAUACAAACAUUUAAAUAUGUGAGUAACAUUAAAAAUAUAUACACGCACGGUUGUGCGGGUGAAAAUCUAGUUCUAAAUUACGCAAUAAGUAUAAUGUAUAUACACCAAACAAUUGGAAGAAGCCGUAGUUUUGUUAUAACAUGCGAUGAUAUAGAUAAUUAAGAAAAAAAUAUGCGUUUAAUGAUGUUGAGGUGGGCAUCUAGGCAGAUCUUAAACAGUCUUUUUCAAAAAAGAAAUUCCACUAGGAGUAGUAGAUAAUAUAUAUUAUCAUGUUUUCUUGAAAAAUAUGGCAGAGUUUAUUUAUUUUAAAUAAUUUAAAAUGUAAGAAAUUUAAUACAGUUUUUAACGUUCUCCAGAAUACGCUCCUGGCUUUGCUCCGAAGGAUUAAUUGCAGAAUUUCACGUGAGCUUGUUUCAUCAAUAAGCAGGGACUCAGUGUUCCUCUCUUAAGAAAACAUCUAGAUCAGACUGUAUACUAUCUUAGUCUACAAUAAAAGCUAGUUGACUAAAAGUUAUUCGGUCAUAAUAGUUGACAUCUAGAUCUAUGCAGCACAAUUUAAGUUUAUUAAUUAUUAUACAUUAAUAGCAUUUGGAAUACAAUAUAAGUGCAUUUCUUAAACUUCUAGUCAGACGCUAUGUUACAUAGAAACGGAAACGGAUACGUGGAAGCGGAAGCGUAAGGAAGUGCAGAAGCGAGAUUUUUUAAAAUAUUAGGAAGCGGAUACGUGUUGGAAGCGUAUAUCCAUAUAUAAAUAUAUAUAUAUAUAUAUAAAGAUUUUUAAAUCAGAUAGUAUUAUCAGUUAUCGAAUCGUCUAUGAAAUAUUUUUUCUAAUUAUAAUAUCCUAAUAAAUGAUCGUUAAAAAUUGAUUUUCCACUAUAUAUCGCUAGUCGUUGCAGUGAGUGAAAAAAAACUAUGGUUAUAUAUUGACAAUAUUUAUAUAUUAAAAGAACUAUUAAACAAUUUCAAAGUAGUUUUCAUAUAUUAUACUAUCGAGUUCCAACUUCCAAGUACUAUGAAUUACGAAAUAGAAAAGACUACGACCAUCUCCAAUGGUUUACUCUAUUUUUCUUCUAAAAUAGAGUAACUCUAUUUUUCCUCUAAAAUAGAGUAACUCUAUAAUAGAGUUGGAUGUUGCUCUAAUAGUACUCUAUUUUAGAAUGAAAAAUAGAGUGAUGAACAAAAAAAAAAACUCUAUAUAUAGAAUAAAAAAUAGGUUUACACUAUUAUAGAGUAUAAAAUAGAGUACUAGUCGAGUAUUUUUACUUUAAAUUCUAUUUUAGAGGAAAAAAUAGAGUGGAGUUAGAGAUGCCCUAAACCACCGGAAACAUGGUCACCGUGGAUGUAAAUCUCAUAUAGUGGGGUGUGGUUCAUGAAACAUGGACUAUGCCUAUAAAACUUUGUAUAUGUUAAUGAAAUUUUUAUUAUAACGUAGACACAGAAAAUGUAAGGGCAAAGACUAACAGCCAACACCAAAAUGGCCAUAAAUCUUGGAGGAAAACGUGGUGAGUUCACGAUGCAUAUUUACUUUGGGCGUAUUUGGUUGUCUUUAUAUUAUCUGUAAAUACUACUUAAAAAGUAAAGAGAAUCAUUCCAACGACAAUAAUAUGAUUAGUCUACUUUGUUAGUGUGAUGAUAGAUGUUCACGUUAUCCGAUUUAAACAUCUUAACAAUUAUGGCUAAUAAUGGUGUUGUGCCUAUAGGGAGGCGUUAAUCAAAGCAUCCAAAGAUAGAUUUAACUUGAAAAUAAAAAUGAUUGAUAGGUAGGUCCAAUACUGAGCAUACCAUAUUUCCCAAAAUUAUGCAGGUGACACGAACAUGUAACAUGAGAUGUCGCUUUCCGGACAAAAAUAUAUCUCCCCCUGCGGUAAUAAUUUAAUUUACCCGUUCAUGAAUCUCCUAUAUAUUAUUUGAGAAGCAUUACAACUUUUUUUGUAGCCACGUGUCAUCACUAAAAUGAUUCUUAGAAUCCUUAGAGAAACAUGUUGGUCCAGCUAAAUAUAUAAUAAGCUUUUUAUUAAACCACAAUAAAUACAUUAUUAAUGUGAUUCAUUAUUUCCUUAAAUAAAAUUACGGAAUUGCCUAAUGUGGCUAAAGUAUAUAUGACAAUUAAUGAUUUUGAAUAAUAAAAAUUUGAUAAAAAUAAGUGUGUAUUAUAAUUAUAUUUGUUUAAUUUUAAGCUAUUAAAAUAAAUUAAACAAUCAUAGUAACCAUAUAAUAAAAAUUAAAAAAUUUCUUUAUAUAUUAUAUUUUGAAUUUUUAAAAAUGAGUAUAAAUUACUAAAACUGUUAAAAGUUUCAAAUUUUGUGAUCUAUGAUUUCAAAAUUUUGUUAUGACAUGAUACAAAUAAUUAAAAAUAAUAUAAGUUGAAAGUCUCAUUUAAUAAGUAUCAAAAAUAAAAGAUAUAUAAAUAUAUGUAUCAUUUUAAAUUAAACUAUAUGCCAUAUAAAAGUACAUAAAUAUUUUAAUUUUGAAAUUUACUUUGAGCAUUUUUUUGAUAAAAAUUUUGAAAAAAUAUUGACAACUUAAUUUUUUAAAAUAUUAUAAAUUACUUAAGCCAUUAAUCCCACAGUGAAAAUUUUGUUAUCACUAAUUUAGACUUUUUGCUAUAACAUAUACAAAUGAUAAAAAAAUAUGAGCAAAAAGCAUCAUCCAAUAAAAAUUAAUAUUAAAAUAUACCAUAUAAAUGUUACUAUCAAUUAAAUUUAAUUAUACAUCAUAUCAAAUAGAAAAAAUAUUUUUUUGAUUUAUAAAAUUUAUUUAUAUGUUCGCACCAAUUUAAUUAUAUAAGUAGUAAAUAAUGACUUUUUAAUUAUUCAAUAUAUAUUUUCAUAAUAUGUUAUAAAUAUAUAAUAUAUAAAAUAAUUUAUAUAUAUAAUGUUCAUUCCGCGCAAGGCGCGGAUCUUAACCUAGUAUUAUGAUUAUUGUGGGAAUGGGUGGGGUUGGACCUAUUCGUGAAUCGAGUAGACACAGUAAAAAUAAAUUCUCGCGACAAACGGCGGGAAAAAUAUCCAACCGUAAUUUGUUCAACUGUUUGCUCUUUGAAACAUUUUUGUUUAACUGUUUAGAGAAUUUUUUUUAUUAAUAAAUGACAGAUUCAAAUUUAAAUUUAGUGCUUAUUACGGCAUGAAUGACAAAUAUUAUAGAGUUAUUUAGGUUUUAAAAUAUAUUUUUUUCUAAAAUAAGAAAUGUUUUAUCCAAAUGUUUACAGUCUUGAUGAUUAUGAUAAACAAAUCUCAUUUUUAUUUUUUUGUUAUAUAAAAUAUGUUAAAAUUAAUUGAUAUAAUAACAAAAUACUAGGUAAUAAUCCGCGCUGUGUGUAGAAUGAAGUAGUUUAUUAUAUUAUUUAUUGUAUGUUGUACUAAAUGAUUUGAUGUACAGCUUUUUCUAGAGAUGAACGUUUGUAUAUCUAUUCAAAUUCAGUUGAUUUAUUCGGAUUUCAUUUUUUAGAGUUAGAAAUUUAAAUUAUAUUCGGAUAUUUACAAAUUUUGGUUUGGAUUUGGUUAAAAUAUAUUGAGGGUUCGGUUCAAAUUCGAGUUCGGGUAUCCAUUUUAAUUAUGUAUUUUUUAACAAAAAUCUAAAUAUACUUAAAUCUUAUAAACUCAAAAAUAAAAUAAUAUAAAACAUAAAAAAUUGCAUAAUGUAAGACUAAAUAUUUAAAUUUACAUAAAAAUUAGGUCAAUUUAAAUAUUUGGAUAGAGAACAAAUAAGCAUUUUCAAUAUUUUGAAUAUAUUAUGUUACUUUUAUUUAUUUACUUGUGACUAUGUUGAUAAUUUUUAGAUAUUUUAUAUUUUUGGAUGUCUAAUAGAUAUAAAUUGUUUAAAAUAAUUAAAAUAUUUAAGUAUAUAAUUGUGAUUUAGAUAUUUUGGGUAUCCAAAAUAUUUUAGUUUGGAUAAUAUUCGGAUCUAGUUAUCUGGAUACUAAACUUUUAGUUUGUGUACUUAAUCAGUUUUAGUUUGUUUUAGUAUUAUGUUAAAUAUACUUCGGUUUGGUUCUUUGGAUCCAACUAUUUUACUCAGAUUUACUUUAUUCUAAUAAUAUAAAGCAAACUAAAUAAAUGUAAAACAAAUAGUCCGAGCUUAUUUAACAUACAUAAUUAUUGGACCAUACUUUAAGAAUACCAAUAAAAAUGGUUGGUCGUGUCAAUAUUGUUGGGCAUGUUACAUAAAAAAAAUCUUUGUAAAUAUAAUAAAAUACGAUACAAUCGAGUGAAAGUGUUAGAGUUGUAUGAAAAAUAAUGUGAUCUCUUCAGUCGGCACCUGAAUUAUGUUUUUCAAUCGAUUUCAUGAACUUUUUUCUUUUAACGCUUUUCUGAUUUCUAAAUUUUUUAAAGCAAUUAGAUUAUGUUUCUAAUUCUUGUUCUGAUAUAAAAACUUUGUAAAUAUUUGGCUAAACUAAAGAUCCGACUUUGUGGUAUUUUUUUACCUCAAUUUAUUCAAUUUAUAACCAAUCACACUUAUUUAUUGCAUAUUUUUUUACGAAACUUCAACCUUGACUAAGCUCGGCAUGAUACGAAACUUUCAAUUUCUAAAAGCGUUCUCAUUCCAGUAUUUUAGUUGAUGUGAAUUUUAAUGUUUUUGUAAUUUUUUUUCAAAAAUUAUAUUAUUCAGUAGUUGGAAGUAAAAAUGUUAAAAAUGCUGGAAGUAAAAAUGAACUGAUUAAAAAAACUUAGUGUGAACAUAUUAAAUUAUCUGCGAUAGAGUUAAAAAAUUAGUAUGUGAACGCCUUAAUUGUUAAGUGAUUGUGAGGCCGACACGUCAUCAUACUCAAAUUGAAAUCGAUGUGAGGCGGACACGUGUCCAAUGUAGUGUAAAUCAUUAAAUGACAAUACUUCUCUUCUAAUGUAUAGGAGAUAUGAGUAAUUUGAAAUCUUAACUCAUUUGCACUGAUAUCUAUUAUAAUUUACAUUUAUAACAAUUAACUAAAUACUUUCGCUAAAUUUUCAUUAAUUUCUAAUAUAUGUAAAGUAUAAAAAUAUGUUUUUAAACUCCAAAACAUAAAUAACUUAUCCAAAUUAUUUUUAAAACAAAUGUAAGAAUUAUACAUUUCAUUCUUAUAAUUAGAUACAUUGUAUUAAUGAAUUAUAUAUAUUAUCUUACUUAUUAUUUAUAUAUUAUUAGUGAUUACUAGACUUAUAUAACAAACUUUGAUAUUUUAUAAAUAUCUAGUUUGUUAAUUUAUUAUUUAAUCGUACGAAAGUUUUUAUAAAUUGCCCCAAAACUUGAAUUUGAAUGAAAAUAAAUACUCCAAAUUUAACCAAAUACAAAAAUAACUUAAAAUUCUAGUGAAAUUACAGUUAUCUUUUAGGAUUAAACAAAAAAAAAAACUGUGGAUAUUUUUGCGGUUAUAACCUUGAAAGUUCUUCUUGUGACAAUGAAGUUUUCUACGAGAAGGCUUCUCGAAAAGUCUACUCAUAUAUUUAAUAUUAAUAUUAAUUUAUUAAAUUCUGAAUAAAUAUUUUGAUGGAAAAUUAAUUGAAACCAUGUAAAUAUAAACAAUUUUAAAUUAUGAAUUUUAAUUUUAAAAAUUGUUUUUUUUUCAAAUAGAGGAGUGAAUAUAUAUUUUAAAUUAUGAAUGUCCAUUGGUUAAAGUUUGGUAACAUAUGUUUAAGUAUUGUUAUAUUUUUAGAAUUAGAUUUUGGAAUCUUAAUAUAUUUUUUGAAAUUGAAAUUUAACAUAUACAAUUUUAUUUUGUAUAUAUUAAAAAUUGUAUAUGUUUAUGUUAUGUGUAAAUGAAGUUUUUAUUGCUAUUUAAAUAAACUAUUUGAUUUAAGGGUUUAGGGAUAGAAAACUUCUUAAGAAGUCAGUUAAUUAUGCACUAACAGAUUUCUUUUGAAAUUAAAGAAGUCUUCUGAAACACCAUAUAUAAUUUUAUUUUGUAUAUAUUAAACAUUUUAUAUGUUUAUGUUAUGUUAAAUGAAGUUUUUAUUGCUAUUUAAUAAACUAUUUGAUUUAAGGGUUUAGGGGAUAGAAAACUUCUUAAGAAGUUAGUAAGUUUUGCACCAACAGAUUUCUUUAGAAACAUCAUGUAAAUAUGAGAUUAGGAGACUUCUUCUGAAAGAUGCUAAACCGUAAUGCACUAUUAGACUUCUUGAGAAGUCUACUAAACUUUAAUGUACUAUCAUAGUUUUUGAGGGUUUUUCUACACCAAAUUUUUCUCACACAAUUUAAGCUUUGUCUCUUUAAAUAAAAAAAAUUAAACAUUUUUAUAUUUAUCAUAAAUUGUUGCAACAAAAAUGUAAUGUUUCUUUCUCUAAAACUAUAUUACAUCUCUCUAAUCUUUUUGAACUUGAAAACAGUAAACUUUAUAUCAAUUUCUCAUCUUUUUGUCCAUAUCUUUCUCACCACUUUAUCUUUUCUUUGCGGGUUAUUUAUUCCAUGGCUUUCAUAUUCCCCUUUUAAAAAUGUAGAUCUAUAAAUUUUAGAUAUAUAUUUUUUUAUGUUUUAGUGUGUUAGAUCCUAAUAAAACUAUAAAUUCACCCAAAUGCGAUUGUUUAUUUACUAUUAAAGCACUAACAUUUGUUUUUUUUAAGUUUUACUAUGUUUUGAAUAUAUUUUUAACGUUUUUAGAAAUGCAUGGUUUUAGAUCUAUGGAAAAUAAUCAAACUUCAGACUUCAUCAGAAGAUUUCAUUAGAAAUCUGCUAGACUUUAAUGCACUAACAGAAUCAUCGAGAAGUUUUCUAUGCAAACUCUCAAAAUUGGUAAACUUUAAUUUUUCACUAAAUAUUUUUGUGUGUUAAAUCUAAAUAAAUUUAUAAAUUUAAUUUAAUGUGAUUUUUUUCUUAUUAUUUUAGCUUUAAAUUUUAUUUUUGUGAUUUAUCUUCUCUGUGGAAAAAUGAGAUAUAAUUUUUGUUCUCAUUAGCAUAAACAGUCUCGAUUAAGACUCUGCUAACCAAACAAGAGAUUUUAUGUCAUUAAAGACUAAAUAAGGUGGUAGACUACGAACACCACGUAUAAGAGUGUUUGCCCUUUUUUUUAGUCUCGGGAACGUGGAGAAUCUCAACUGAUGUGAAGCUGUCCUUCAGUAGUUGGAUUCCUUUCAGGUAUGUUGUAAACACAUGUCAUUCUUAUGAUUCUGAAACCAUAUUAACCAAUUGAAAACAAUAUUUUGCAAACAUGACAUGAAAUUGCUUAAUAUAUAUUAUGUUGCUAUAUAUGUAAGAUAUACAUUUUCUAAAUACAAUUUUUUAAAAUUUAAUAUAUUUAUUUUUUUAAAACAAAAUAAAAAAUAUAAAGUAUUAUUUUGUUAUUAUUUUAGUAUAUUUCAAAGCUAACAUAUGCAUUGACAAAAAAAACAGAUCUGAUUUUUUUUUUAAUUUCAUACCUAGAUCCAUUGAGAGUGCGCAUUUAGCUUCUUUAAGCUCUUAGAACUUCUGAAUGAAGGAUAUACUCUCAUUAUGGACCAAAUAUUAUCAAAUUUGAGUAAUUUUAAUAAAAAAAUAAAAUCUUGAAAUUCAAAAUUUUGAGUUUUAAGGACAAAAUGAUAUGCAAAUAAAAUAUUUAUAUAUGUAAGAAUUGAGAUAAGAAGAUGUAUAAAUUGUUUUUUUUUGUACAUGUAGAGAUCUUUUCGGUUAUUAUAGUCAAAAUAAAAAUUUAUAGAGAUAAAAUAUAUAAUGUUUAAAAUAAAAUAAUUUUUAUUUGGUGUGAUUCACAUUUAUUUUAUUUUAUUUUGAACAAAAUAAAUUAAACCACAUCUUUUAAUAUAUCUAUAAUUUUAAUAUCUAAGAAUUGAUGUAUUAAACUUUGUAUUUUGUUCCAUCUUUUUAUUAAGCUGUGUAUUUUUUAGAUCAAGUAACUUAGAUUUGAAAUCAAACAUUUCUUAUAAUUGUAGAUUGAAACGAUUCUAAAUAGCAUUCAAAGCAAUAUUAGCCAAUAAACAGUAUCAAAUUUAGACUUUAGAAACAGUGACAUAAAGAAAAAGUAAAAUAUCUUUUUACACAGAAAUAAAUCGAGCGGCGCAUAUGAAUACGAUGGAUCAUUUGGUUUAAAGAAAUUCCUACUUGUUUUGCAUUUCCAAACCGGAUAAUAAUCAGAGAAAUUGAAUAUUAACUAUUAAGAUCAUAAACUAAAUAGUUGGCAUCAUUAUAAUUUGUUAUUUUUUUGUCAUCAACUUAAAUAGACUCGAUUAAAACUCUUCUAACCAAGAAAUAGACUUAAUUUCAUUUUCUAAUUUUUUCAAUAUCCAUUUACUAGUUAUCCCAAAUAUCACAACAUAUAUAUAUAUAAAGGUAAAUCUUAAAUAAUAACUGUUUGAGAACCUUAAAUAAUAAUUAUGAAAAUUAUUCAUUUAUCAAUUAUCCAAAAUAGCACGACAAAUAAAUAUAUACUUCAUAGAGUCGGUACAAUAUUAUUGUUAUAUAGUAUUAAAACAGAUACUAGUUAACUAAUGACUCAGCUAAAAAAUUUCCUAUAUAUUAAAAAAAAAACAUUACAACAUUUGAAGUAGCCACAUAUCAUUACCACAACGAUUUUUGUAAUUCUUAAAGAAAAAGAUUGGACCAUCUAAAUAUAUAAUAAUUUUUUUAUUAAACUAAUCAUAAAUUAAUUAUUAAUGUUUUUCAUGAUUUACUUAAAUAAAAAUUACAGAAUUCCUUAAUGUAGUUAAAAUAUAUGUGAUAAUUAGUGAUUUGAAGAAUAAAAAUUUGAUAAAAAAAAUUAUUGUAUCCUUUAUCGUUUUUUAAUUUUAACUUAUUAAAAUAAAUUAAACAACCACACUAGCUUUGUAGUUUAAAUUUAAAUUUUUCCAUACAUGUUAUAUUUUUAAUUUUUAAAGACGACUAUAAUUAUUAAAACUAUUAAAAGUCUCACAUUAAAAAAAUUGUGAUCCAUUGUUUAAAAUUUAUGUCAUGACAAGAUACAAAUGAUUACAAAAUCAUAUAAGUAAGAAGUCUCAUUUAACAAAUAUUAAGUUGAUAUAUUAAUAUCGUUUAAGUUAAACUAUGUACUACCAUAUAAAGAUACAAAAAUAUUUUAAUUCUAAAAUUUGCUUUGAACAAUUUAUGUUUUGAUAAAGCUUUGAACAAAUAUUGACAAAUUAAUAUUUAAAUUUUAAUCUUUGCAUGCAUUGUACUUUUCGAAAAAAAUUAUAAAUUACUAAACUAUUAAACAUUUCACAAUGAAAAUUUUGUUAUUCGUGAUUCAAAAUUUUUGGUAUAAAAGAUACAAAUGAUUAAAAAACAAUAUGAAUAUAAUGUAUUAUUAAAUAGAUAUCUUUUUUUGUCGACAUUAUUUAUUAGAUAUCAUUAUUACAAAUAGACUAUAUAUAUGUGAAUAUCAUUUAAAUUAAUUAUAUACCAUAUAAAAUAGAAAAAAAUGUUUACUUGGUUUAAUAAAAUUUAUUUAUGUGUUCACACCAAUUUAAUUAUAUACAUAAUAGUCACUAAAUUUUUAAUUAUUUAAUUUAUUUUCAUUAAUGCAUUAUAAAUAAAAUAAUAUAUAAUAUAAUAAAAUAAUUUAUAUAUAAUGUUUAUUCUGCGCAAGGGUGGGUCUUAACCUAGUUACUAAAAAUAUGAUAAAUAAUAAAAAUAACCUAAAAUUAUGGAUUAGAUAAAAGUAAGCAAAAUCAAUUUUCAAAUAAUAUUAUAGAUAGAUACAAUUGAGUUCUAUUUAAAGAUUAUAAAAGUUGUUUAUCAAGUGAUAAAAUCUGCUUGUUCAUAUGGUAAAUGGAUUGUAAAACGAGAAUUCAGCCAAAAAAACACGAACUUUACACGAAUCGCCAAAAAAAUUCUGUAUUCGAGUCUGGCCAAACAAAUAUUGUACUUUUAUUGACUUUUUAAGUUUAUUAAGCAACUUAAGAUUGACUGGCCAUUUUAGCACACCGUGAACCCACAGUUAAAACACUGUUAAAUGUUGGCGUUAAGCGAAACGAUAUCGUUUUCAAAUGAGAUGAAACGACGUCGUUUCACAUGAUUUGAAAAUAAAAAGAAAUACACCCCUGGAUUCAAACUCGGGUUGAUUAGGACUAAUGGCAAGGUAUUUUAUCACUGGAUUAGUGGCACUUUCAAUUGAGUUACUAACACAUUUAGUUUUAUUUGGUACUGAUUGAAUGUAAAACAAUUCUCUAAAAACUUUAUAAAAUUAAUUUUGAAAUUAAAAUUAAAAGUAAAAUUUUAUUUGUUCUUUAAAAAAUCAAAAAUCUUCCAAAAAUUUCAUUUUUUUUUAAAUUCCAAAAAAAUUAAAAAAAUACCCACAUAUUACAAAAAAAACCCACAAAUUUAAAUUCCAAUUCCAAAAAAUUUAAAAAUUCAAAGAAAAUGAAAAAAAAUUAAAAUUACAAUUAUCAGCUAAAAAUUAAAAUCGCACUCAUAAUAGGUACAAUAUUUAUUUUAAGCAUUUUAAUUUAAUUUUAAUAUGUGGGUAUCUUUUUAUGUGUGUAUAAUUAAUUUCAAUUUUUAGCAAUUGUUUCAAAAAAAAUUGAAAAUUUUGGAAGAUUUUUGAUUUUUUUAAAGAAAAAAUAAAAAAUUUAUUUUACAUUUUUAUUUCAAAACUAAUUUUAGAAUUUUUUUUUUUUCAAUUUUUUGGAAUUUUAAAGAUCUUUUAAAGUUAAUAAAUUUUUUUUUAUAUUCAUUCAGUACCAAAUAAAAUUAAAUGUGUUAGUAACUCCAUUGAAAGUGUCACUAGCCGAGUGAUAAAAUACCUUUCAAUUUCUCCCAACCAACGUGAGUUCAAAUCCAAUUGUCUAUUUCUUUUUAUUUCACUUAAUGCUAACAAUAAACGAUGUCAAAUUUUUCUGGUCAAUUUGCUGACGGUGUGCUAAAUUGGCAAGUCAACGAAAACAUUGUUAAUUAAUUCUAAAGUUAAUGAAAAUUUUGUGUUUUUUUGGUCAGUUCAAAAAUUCAUGUUUUUUUUGAUAAUUCCUGCAAAGUUCGUACUUUUUUUGGCCGAAUUCUCAUUGUAAAACAAUUAUUUUUAGGCGGUUUGUAACCUUGUCUCAAUCCUAAACUAUAAGAGAGGGAAGUUUUUUGAUUAAAAUUUAAAAAAAAGAGAGGGAAGCUUUUCUACUUACUAUUCGUAACACUAACAGAAAAAAAAACUUAAUGACUUUCAUUUAUUGUUUACAAAAAAGGACUUAUUUCGUGAGACACCUAGCCUUGUCCUAUAAAUACACCCAUACGAUACUAUCAUCUCAUAUCAGUAACCAAAAAACAAAACUAAAACAUGGGGUUCUUGGGUAAGAGUGUAUUGGUGAGUCUCAUUGCACUUUGGUGCUUCACUUCCUCUGCCUUCACUGAAGAAGUGAACCAUGUGACUCAAACACCUUCCUCUGCUCCUGCUCCGGCUCCUUACCACCACGGCCACCACCACCCACACCCUCCCCAUCCCCACCAUCCUCACCCGCACCCUCCGGCAAAAGCCCCUGUUAAGCCACCGGUUUCUCCACCAGCUAAACCUCCGGUUAAGCCUCCAGUUUACCCUCCAGCCAAAGCCCCAGUCAAGCCCCCAACUAAGCCCCCUGUUAAACCACCAGUUUCUCCACCAGCCAAACCUCCGGUUAAGCCCCCGGUUUACCCUCCGACCAAAGCCCCGGUUAAGCCCCCAGUUAAACCUCCAGUUAAGCCACCAGUUUCACCACCAGCCAAGCCUCCGGUUAAGCCCCCUGUUUACCCUCCGACCAAAGCCCCUACUAAGCCCCCAACUAAACCCCCGGUUAAGCCUCCUGUCUCUCCUCCAGCCAAGCCACCGGUGAAGCCACCGGUUUACCCGCCGAAGUUUAACAGGAGCCUAGUCGCCGUUCAGGGUACGGUCUUCUGCAAAAGCUGCAAAUACGCUUCUUACGACUCGCUCACUGGCGCCAAACCAGUU
This 40945-nucleotide long non-coding RNA is filed under the name Brassica rapa (field mustard). Its description in RNAcentral is "long non-coding RNA (BRAP_LNC005165)". The record is from RNAcentral. Lineage: Eukaryota; Viridiplantae; Streptophyta; Magnoliopsida; Brassicales; Brassicaceae.